This 372-nucleotide ribosomal RNA is filed under the name uncultured eukaryote. Its description in RNAcentral is "partial 18S ribosomal RNA". It matches the Rfam family "Eukaryotic small subunit ribosomal RNA", at positions 592 to 975 of the family's 1831-position model. The record is from RNAcentral.
CAAUAGCGUAUAUUUAAGUUGUUGCAGUUAAAAAGCUCGUAGUUGGAUUUCGGUUGAGAACGGCCGGUCCGCCGUUUGGUGUGCACUGGCUGGUUUCAACUUCCUGUAGAGGACGUGCUCUGGCUUCACGGCUGGACGCGGAGUCUACGUGGUUACUUUGAAAAAAUUAGAGUGUUCAAAGCGGGCUUACGCUUGAAUAUUUCAGCAUGGAAUAACACUAUAGGACUCCUGUCCUAUUUCGUUGGUCUCGGGACGGGAGUAAUGAUUAAGAGGAACAGUUGGGGGCAUUCGUAUUUCAUUGUCAGAGGUGAAAUUCUUGGAUUUAUGAAAGACGAACUUCUGCGAAAGCAUUUGCCAAGGAUGUUUNCAUUA